Small nucleolar RNA from Jaculus jaculus (lesser Egyptian jerboa), 152 nucleotides. The record is from Ensembl. Lineage: Eukaryota; Metazoa; Chordata; Mammalia; Rodentia; Dipodidae.
UCCGCACACUGUUAAAGCUUAGGGUGGAAGCUGGUCUUGGUAUUGUGAACUUUUGAAUGCUGGGUGUGUGCUAUAACAAUGGCGGGGGUUUUGCUAACUCCAGUAGAGCUAGGCUAUAUGCCUAGACUUUGGUAGUAGUUACUGCCACAUAU